AUUUAUUUAAUAUAUAAGUAUAUUUAACUUCCAAUUAAAAAGUCUGAUAUUUCAGAAUAAAUA
RNAcentral lists this transfer RNA (63 nucleotides) under Phraortes illepidus. Its description in RNAcentral is "tRNA-Gly". RNAcentral also lists the same sequence under 1 other name. Lineage: Eukaryota; Metazoa; Arthropoda; Insecta; Phasmatodea; Lonchodidae. The record is from RNAcentral.